AAAACUUCUCCAGGGCCCCAAAAAUCCUCAGACCCCUGAGGGUUAAAGUUUAAACGACGGAACUGUUUCCUCCGGUUAGCUAGUGUUCUCUCUCGCGUGUGGUGGAUCACCGUGCAUGAACCCCUGUACGAAGAGUUCGACGCGCGUUAUUUCGUCGUUUGUUUCUUUUUCACACAAGGAGCUGUUGUUGGGCGUGUAAACUUAGUUUGAACCUCUGGCUGUCGGCGAACACCGCGCCCGCGCCCGCGCCCGCGCCCGCACCUGCACCCGCACCCGCGCUUCCAGCAGAGGAGAGAGGAUGAAGCGCGAAAAUGGUCAAGAAGAGAUGCUUUGGAUUAGAAGUAAAAGUUGUCAACGACGAGCCUGACAUCAGCCUGAUGGUACUUCAAUGGCCAGCUCUUUCUACAGUAAACCAGGUUGCAGCUGACAAGGACUCAUACAGGCAAACUUCAGUGAGAAUCGUCUGUGUUGAUCUAUAAAGUGCUCAGCUAAACCCAUCAUGAGUGAAGAUCGUCUUGGAAGGAUGUUUGAUGAUGGAUGAACUGACCAACCUCAGGACUUCUGUGUCCUUUUUUCUGACUGAUUUAUGCCCUGCAACUGGACUACCCUAACUGUAUGAAAAAAUACUUUAUAUUUUAUUCAGCAGGUAAUGCUCAACCUAGGAAAAUGUGAGCUGGCACCUAAAAUGGAAUACUGCCACUAUUGUGAACUCAGGAGUGUGAACAAACCAUAUAGUUUUGAUGCAAUUUGUUGUGAUUCUGAGAUAGACUAUUUAUGUGCUUAACAAUAAGCUGAUUUUUUAAAACUAGUUUUUUCACGUUUUAUAAGGAAAUGUUUUCAGGACAUGAAAUGUUGUUGUAUUUGGAAUUAAAUUAAAAUAAAACAUAAAAUUGAAUAAAUGUACCUUUUAUUUGCUUUUUUUCUUAAUUUUGUAGUAAAAUAGAAGUUGCUAUAAAUUAACUUGCUUAGUACAUUGAACUUAACUAUACUAUGUGUAAUAACUACAAAGUAAUUAAUAUUACAAAACAUUUUAAGUUAAAUUAACUUGAAUUUUUAAGUCCACAUUACUUAAUCAUUACUUAAUUUUUUUAGGGCAACCAGUUUCCUCAAAUUUUUUAAGUAAAUUCAACUUAUCCGGGCUAACAGUGUAGUUUGAAAACUGAACUGUUAUUAGUACUGUAUUUUUACUUAUUUAUUUAUUUUUACUUUUUUACAUAUUUAUUUUAAUAAAUUUAUUUACUUGUUUUUUAAUAUUUUUAAUUUAUUUAUUUUAAUCUUAUUUUGUUCUGUUUUGUGUUGUUUUUUUUGGGUUUUUUUACUUUUUUUUACACCUUUUCUCUAAAUUUUUCCAUAGACCACCAUUUUUAUGAACCCCAUUUUGAAAACUGAAUUGUAUAGUACUGUAUUUUUUCUUUUUUACUUUUUUUUACAUAUUUUAAUCAAAUUUGUAUUUAUGUACUUUUUUAUUUAUAUAUAUUUUAAUUUAUUUUAAUCUUAUUUAUUUAUUUAUUUA
Megalobrama amblycephala (Wuchang bream) is the source of this 1513-nucleotide long non-coding RNA. RefSeq lists it as uncharacterized. The transcript is spliced from 4 exons. The record is from RefSeq and is a predicted model, not a curated record. NCBI's taxonomy places the organism in Eukaryota, Metazoa, Chordata, Actinopteri, Cypriniformes, Xenocyprididae.